UGCCGUCUGCAGCUGUCUCCUGCAGCUCGAGAGACAGGGCGAAAAGUAGUCACUGAGGCUGCUUUAAUAAUCAGCAUACGCGAAACACCUUGGUUUUCUCGGUGCUGAGCGUUGAAGAGGAAGCCUUGUCGCGGCCUCGCCAGAGACAUUUUUGUGUGGCUGGGAACAAGAACCGUGCAUUUUCAGGCUUCCCCUGAGUUUUGCGCUUUAUUUUCUCACAGAAACUUGAGCGAGGCAAUUUUUGGGAAAGAAGUCUUUUUCUGAGCGGUCUGAGGUGGGAAAUCAGAGCGAUUCCCAGCCGCAGAGAAAGGGGAGCCGAUUUUUCCGAUUCGGGCUGGUUUCUGGCGCGAGACAGCGAAGGCCCAGAGAAAGGGGAACGCGGCGGCGGCGGCGAUGGGACGACAGGACGGUGUUGGGGACGCCCUGAGGGGACCUCACCUUGACUAUAAGGUUAGAAAGAAGAGUUGGUGUGUACAAGCAAUUGAGGACGUUUAGCAGGCAGGUACCCACAGCAGCUGGAUACAGGCUCCCACAGCCAGACACCUGCAUCACCAGGCUCACCGGGGCCUGCCACCCUCCUCACUGAGGACACCCAGGAUGAUGUUCUCCAGCCCUGUCUGCACCCUUAGCUGUCACCUGGCCCAGAACCACAGCCUGCCAAAGCAGGAGACCCUCACAGUCCUGCCCCUAACAGGGAGAAUCUUCUUUGUUUUCCUGCCUGAAGGACAAGGAGGUUUUCAGGUUCCAUCAGCACCAGCUGGCUGACAGCCAGUUCCCAAACGCUCAGGCCGCCUCAUUCUCCAUGAGACGAUACAGCACUUCUCCAUCGUCUUCAGCACAAAGAGCUGAAAUUCCUCAGUGGGCUUGAUCAACAGUGGGCAGAUCUGGAGACUAGUUUGGUGCAGGAGAUGGAGAGGAAAAGACCCUGCUGGGCAAUGAGGACUCCAGCCUGACUUUGAAGAACUUCCAAAGGACCAGGCUCGAUCUGAAAAGAAAGUCCACAGCUGCUGUGCCCAGGACAAUAUGAGAGUGGAAGUUAAGGCAUGAAAAUCAGAGUGUGCUUUCCCUGUAUGUUCAACCUCAGAGAACCCAGGAGUGGGAAAAGGAGACCUGGACCCAAUCUUCUACAAUGGGGUCUUCUCUGCUUAGAGGUGGCCUCUAGCGCGUCCAUAUUCACUCCCUUCAAUGACUUUUCUUCUGAUUCAGUUGUAAAUACAUCGAGUCAUCUCAGCACAUUGUUUUUCAACAGUAAGUGGAACAAUACAAAAUAAAAAACAAUACAAAAAUAAUACAA
Long non-coding RNA from Globicephala melas (long-finned pilot whale), 1294 nucleotides. RefSeq lists it as uncharacterized. The record is from RefSeq and is a predicted model, not a curated record. Lineage: Eukaryota; Metazoa; Chordata; Mammalia; Artiodactyla; Delphinidae.